UCUCAAGUGCUGGAUACACAUUGCUGGUGGAGAUGAUUUCAUGUCGUUUAUUGAGCACCUACAUUAGGCAGAGCUGUUUCACAGGCAGGGCCUUAUUGGAAGCAUUUCUCUGUUUUCCAGGGAAGAGCGGAAAUCCCCCAGGGGGGAGGUCCUAAAUUCUUCUCCCACUGGGACAGCUAUGCAGGGAUCCUGCCUGCAGUGUGCAGUGGCUUCUCCUGAGCCCAUCUGCCCUUCUUUGUCUUCUUAUGAAGGCCGAGGAGUGACCCCUUCAAGCAGCACAGAGAGGCAGUGGGUUGAGGGAUGCCAAAGAUGCUGGCCUCUGCUUCUGGGACAGGGCCAGAGCCCCAGCCUGUUGCUCCUACCUUAGGGCCAGGGAUCUGUGCAGCUGCGUUGUGGUCUGCAGGGUGGAGACACUGAGGCAGAGUACAGGAGCUGGGCCUCAUUUCUGUGCCUUCGUAGCCAGCCAUGACCAGGUGCCCUCUGGAUGCAGGAUGGCCCUGCCACCUUGGAGUUUGGGGCUGGAAAGUGGGAGAGCAUAGAAUAUUCUGGAGAGAAUCAUCUUCAUGGCGGUAGGAAAGGGAGACCAUUGUUAAUGACAACAACCCAGAAGGUACCUUAAGGGGUCAUCUAGCUCUAGUGCCCCUGCAGGAAGGAAGGCCCUGUGGCCACAAUGAUUUCAGCUUAUCAUGUGCAGGUGCUGUUCCAGUUAUUGACUAAUUUAAUCUUCUCAGUAGCCUUACAGGGCAAACGACUUUACAGUUGUGGAAAGUAAGGAACAGAGAGGUUAGGUAACUUGCCCUAGAUCAUACAGCUAGUGAGGGGUAGAUUGAGAAUUCACACUUGGACCAUCUGACUCUCAACCUCCCCUUCUCACCUGCCCUGACUCUCUUGCCUCAGAGUUUGGGACAGACUUCCAAAGAGGGCCUUUUGCUGCUUGCCCUUGUUCUCAAUCUUGGAGCAUUCACCAUCCCUUUGCUCCUCAUCUCCUGGACCUCCUUGGAUUUUGGAGGUUGGUUGACCCACAUCAUUCAGAGUCCAGGAGGCAGAUCGUCACACACGAUUCCCUUGGGGAAUCUUUCCAGGAUCCAGCUCCCAAGACCGCCUAGUCCUCCUCUUGCUGGUUCUCAGAGGCAGGAUCCUUGUUUUUGACGGACAGCCCCGCUCUUGCUCUCGGGCCCCCCCACUCCAUGCCCCACCCCUCACCUCCACUUGCUCUCAGCAUCAAGCCUUGAGCCUGUGGCCAGCCGUCCCUGCUGCCAUCCUGGCCUGCUUACCUGGAGGGGGACCGACCUUCCCAAAGAGACCAGGGGGUCUUAUAGCCUCUCUGAAACCUUCGUUUCCCCUGACAGAAAGUUGACAACAACACAGAUCCCAGGUUUCUCUUAAUCUCUCCUUCUCUCUCUCUUUAACCUAUUUAUGUUAUUCCGGAUGAAGAUGCUGGUUGGGCACUUUUAAUAAAGAGAGCCCUCUGUAAGUGGGACCCUCA
RNAcentral lists this long non-coding RNA (1486 nucleotides) under Marmota marmota marmota (Alpine marmot). RNAcentral's name for it is "lncRNA (ENSMMMG00000018965.1)". Lineage: Eukaryota; Metazoa; Chordata; Mammalia; Rodentia; Sciuridae. The record is from RNAcentral.